UAAGUUAAUAAGGGCGCACGGUGGAUGCCUUGGCACUAGGAGCCGACGAAGGACGUGACAAACGACGAUAUGCCUUGGGUAGCUGUAAGUAAGCGAUGAUCCAGGGAUUUCCGAAUGGGGGAACCCAACAGGUAAUACCUGUUACCUACAUCUGUUAAGGAUGUGAGGAGGAAGACGCAGUGAACUGAAACAUCUAAGUAGCUGCAGGAAGAGAAAGCAAAAGCGAUUGCCUUAGUAGCGGCGAGCGAAACGGCAGAAGGGCAAACCGAAGAGUUUACUCUUCGGGGUUGUAGGACUGCAAUGUGGACUCAAAGAUUAUAGAAGAAUGAUUUGGGAAGAUCAGCCAAAGAGAGUAAUAGCCUCGUAUUUAAAAUAGUCUUUGUACUUAGCAGUAUCCUGAGUACGGCGGGACACGUGAAAUACCCGUCGGAAUCUGGGAGGACCAUCUCCCAACCCUAAAUACUCCCUAGUGACCGAUAGUGAACCAGUACCGUGAGGGAAAGGUGAAAAGCACCCCGGGAGGGGAGUGAAAUAGAACCUGAAACCGUGUGCCUACAACAAGUUCGAGCCCGUUAAUGGGUGAGAGCGUGCCUUUUGUAGAAUGAACCGGCGAGUUACGUUAUGAUGCGAGGUUAAGUUGAAGAGACGGAGCCGUAGGGAAACCGAGUCUGAAUAGGGCGCCUUAGUAUCAUGACGUAGACCCGAAACCAUGUGACCUACCCAUGAGCAGGUUGAAGGUGCGGUAAGACGCACUGGAGGACCGAACCAGGGCACGUUGAAAAGUGCUUGGAUGACUUGUGGGUAGCGGAGAAAUUCCAAACGAACUUGGAGAUAGCUGGUUCUCUCCGAAAUAGCUUUAGGGCUAGCGUCGACAUUAGAGAUUCUUGGAGGUAGAGCACUGUUUGGGUGAGGGGUCCAUCCCGGAUUACCAAUCUCAGAUAAACUCCGAAUGCCAAUGAAUUAUGGUCGGCAGUCAGACUGCGAGUGCUAAGAUCCGUAGUCGAAAGGGAAACAGCCCAGACCACCAGCUAAGGUCCCAAAAUAAUUGUUAAGUGGAAAAGGAUGUGGGGUUGCACAGACAACUAGGAUGUUAGCUUAGAAGCAGCUAUUCAUUCAAAGAGUGCGUAAUAGCUCACUAGUCGAGUGACCCUGCGCCGAAAAUGUACCGGGGCUAAAACAAUUUACCGAAGCUGUGGAUACCUUUAUAGGUAUGGUAGGAGAGCGUUCUAUGUGUGAUGAAGGUAUACCGUGAGGAGUGCUGGAACGCAUAGAAGUGAGAAUGCCGGUAUGAGUAGCGAAAGACAGGUGAGAAUCCUGUCCACCGUAAGACUAAGGUUUCCAGGGGAAGGCUCGUCCGCCCUGGGUUAGUCGGGACCUAAGGAGAGACCGAAAGGUGUAUCCGAUGGACAACAGGUUGAUAUUCCUGUACUAGAGUAUGUAGUGAUGGAGGGACGCAGUAGGCUAACUAAAGCAGACGAUUGGAAGAGUCUGUCUAAGCAGUGAGGUGUGAAUUGAGUCAAAUGCUUAAUUCUAUAACAUUGAGCUGUGAUGGGGAGCGAAGUUUAGUAGCGAAGUUAGUGACGUCACACUGCCAAGAAAAGCUUCUAGCGUUUAAACAUACUCUACCCGUACCGCAAACCGACACAGGUAGUCGAGGCGAGUAGCCUCAGGUGAGCGAGAGAACUCUCGUUAAGGAACUCGGCAAAAUGACCCCGUAACUUCGGGAGAAGGGGUGCUGACUUAAAGUCAGCCGCAGUGAAUAGGCCCAAGCAACUGUUUAUCAAAAACACAGCUCUCUGCUAAAUCGUAAGAUGAUGUAUAGGGGGUGACGCCUGCCCGGUGCUGGAAGGUUAAGAGGAGUGCUUAGCGUAAGCGAAGGUAUGAAUUGAAGCCCCAGUAAACGGCGGCCGUAACUAUAACGGUCCUAAGGUAGCGAAAUUCCUUGUCGGGUAAGUUCCGACCCGCACGAAAGGCGUAAUGAUUUGGGCACUGUCUCAACGAGAGACUCGGUGAAAUUUUAGUACCUGUGAAGAUGCAGGUUACCCGCGACAGGACGGAAAGACCCCAUGGAGCUUUACUGCAGUUUGAUAUUGAGUGUCUGUACCACAUGUACAGGAUAGGUAGGAGUCUAAGAGAUCGGGACGCCAGUUUCGAAGGAGACGCUGUUGGGAUACUACCCUUGUGUUAUGGCCACUCUAACCCAGAUAGGUGAUCCCUAUCGGAGACAGUGUCUGACGGGCAGUUUGACUGGGGCGGUCGCCUCCUAAAAGGUAACGGAGGCGCCCAAAGGUUCCCUCAGAAUGGUUGGAAAUCAUUCGCAGAGUGUAAAGGUAUAAGGGAGCUUGACUGCGAGAGCUACAACUCGAGCAGGGACGAAAGUCGGGCUUAGUGAUCCGGUGGUUCCGUAUGGAAGGGCCAUCGCUCAACGGAUAAAAGCUACCCUGGGGAUAACAGGCUUAUCUCCCCCAAGAGUUCACAUCGACGGGGAGGUUUGGCAUCUCGAUGUCGGCUCGUCGCAUCCUGGGGCUGUAGUCGGUCCCAAGGGUUGGGCUGUUCGCCCAUUAAAGCGGCACGCGAGCUGGGUUCAGAACGUCGUGAGACAGUUCGGUCCCUAUCCGUCGCGGGCGUAGGAAAUUUGAGAGGAUCUGCUCCUAGUACGAGAGGACCAGAGUGGACUUACCGCUGGUGUACCAGUUGUCUUGCCAAAGGCAUCGCUGGGUAGCUAUGUAGGGAAGGGAUAAACGCUGAAAGCAUCUAAGUGUGAAACCCACCUCAAGAUGAGAUUUCCCAUGAUUAUAUAUCAGUAAGAGCCCUGAGAGAUGAUCAGGUAGAUAGGUUAGAAGUGGAAGUGUGGCGACACAUGUAGCGGACUAAUACUAAUAGCUCGAGGACUUAUCCA
Molecule: ribosomal RNA, 2899 nt
Filed under: Streptococcus pneumoniae GA44500
Lineage: Bacteria; Bacillati; Bacillota; Bacilli; Lactobacillales; Streptococcaceae
Description: bacterial LSU rRNA
Rfam family: Bacterial large subunit ribosomal RNA
Source: RNAcentral